This 165-nucleotide ribosomal RNA is filed under the name uncultured bacterium. Its description in RNAcentral is "partial 16S ribosomal RNA". It matches the Rfam family "Bacterial small subunit ribosomal RNA", at positions 346 to 509 of the family's 1533-position model. The record is from RNAcentral.
AGGCAGCAGUGAGGAAUAUUGGUCAAUGGGCGAGAGCCUGAACCAGCCAAGUCGCGUGAGGGAGUACUGCCCUAUGGGUUGUAAACCUCUUUUGUCGGGGAGCAAAAGCCGGACGUGUCCGUCUGUGAGAGUACCCGAAGAAAAAGCAUCGGCUAACUCCGUGCC